GGGACGGGGGCGGCGGCGCAGCGGCGGCGGGGGGCGGUCGUCGACGGCAGCGUGGUGGACCAGGCGGUGGCGUACACGCUCAUGGUCGCCGCGCUCGCCGUCACCUACCUCGUGCACUGAGCUGCUAGCUAGCUAGAGGCAGAGGGCUCGUGUUAUGCCAACGGCUGAUGUGAUUGAUCGAUCGAUCCCCUCUCCUGCUGUUUUGUGUACUUCAUUUGUUUUACUGGAUCACACUACUUUGUAUAGUCCAGGCGUUUACCGGUUCGUGAUUUCACGUACACUCCGUGUAUUCGGUCGAAUUAACACGAUUUUCACCGUAUUAUUUUAGCAAAUCUCAUGGGAAAUUUCAAUCCAUCCAUGACCAUGCUUCCUCCAUCCCUAUUCUAAGUCUUAUCAACAAUAUAAUUCCCAUCAAUUAAUUAAAAUCCUGCUCAAAUUUAUUCACGUCCUACUCCCACCUAUCCUAUCCUAGCGUACUUAUUUAUUUCUCAUUUAUCAAUUAAUAGGCAACACCAUAAUUAUCUCCUUACCCACUGUUGGGGGUUAAGCUGCCUAACUAUAAGGCGUGCCCGAGCCCACAAGAUAUCGGCAAUGUCCAGGCCGCGGCUCAUGUCCCC
This 617-nucleotide long non-coding RNA is filed under the name Oryza brachyantha (malo sina). RNAcentral describes it as "long non-coding RNA (OBRA_LNC001334)". The record is from RNAcentral. Lineage: Eukaryota; Viridiplantae; Streptophyta; Magnoliopsida; Poales; Poaceae.